AUACGGAGGAUGCGAGCGUUAUCCGGAUUUAUUGGGUUUAAAGGGUGCGUAGGCUGUGCGUUAAGUCAGGGGUGAAAUGCCGUCGCUCAACGACGGAGCUGCCCUUGAUACUGGCGUGCUGGAGUACGGAUGCCGUUGGAGGAAUGAGUGGUGUAGCGGUGAAAUGCUUAGAUAUCACUCAGAACACCGAUUGCGAAGGCAUCUGACGAAUCCGUCACUGACGCUGAGGCGCGAAAGCGUGGGGAUAGAACAGGAUUAGAUACCCUGGUAUUCCACGCCGUAAACGAUGAUGACUAACCGUCGGCGAUAGACAGCCGGUGGCCAAGCGAAAGCGAUAAGUCAUCCACCUGGGGAGUACGUCGGCAACGAUGAAACUCAAAGGAAUUGACGGGG
RNAcentral lists this ribosomal RNA (393 nucleotides) under uncultured bacterium. RNAcentral's name for it is "partial 16S ribosomal RNA". It matches the Rfam family "Bacterial small subunit ribosomal RNA", at positions 523 to 918 of the family's 1533-position model. The record is from RNAcentral.